Molecule: long non-coding RNA, 487 nt
Organism: Nematostella vectensis (starlet sea anemone)
Lineage: Eukaryota; Metazoa; Cnidaria; Anthozoa; Actiniaria; Edwardsiidae
Exons: 2
Source: RefSeq, a predicted model, not a curated record
AGGAUGCUAGAAUCUUUUUCUUCAUUUUAUAUCCAAUUACUUAUAAGCUUGUCUUUGAUUGUAUCUAUCGCAAAGCAGAGUAAUCAACUUGAAGACAUUUUGAGAACAAGUAGCGGUAAGGGUUAUUUUCGUGAUCCGUGAAAGACAAAUUGAAAACCGUGAUUGCUACUUUCGCCGUGAUUCGUGAAUGCCGAAAGUUGCGGUUUAUCGUGAUCGUGAAACGUGAUUUCAGAUUUUUGAAACUCGUGAAACGUGCAGGGAUCUCCCUUACCGCCCCUGUGAGAAGAAGUUGCUCUUUGACAGCUGAAGUGGCUUUACCACAUACAAAAUUAAUCAACUGUUGGCAAUUAUUCAAUUGCUGGCAUGAGAACAAACGAGAACAAGGUGACAUUAACUUAAAUAUACCUACUGUUGUGGAAACCGCAUGCUAUAAAGAAACGGUGAUCCAAUCACAAUACUGGAACAAGUCAAAUUAAAAAUAUUAUGC